RNAcentral lists this ribosomal RNA (497 nucleotides) under uncultured bacterium. RNAcentral's name for it is "partial 16S ribosomal RNA". It matches the Rfam family "Bacterial small subunit ribosomal RNA", at positions 28 to 507 of the family's 1533-position model. The record is from RNAcentral.
GAUGAACGCUGGCGGCGUGCCUAAUACAUGCCAGUCGAGCGAACGGACGAGAAGCUUGCUUCUCUGAUGUUAGCGGCGGACGGGUGAGUAACACGUGGAUAACCUACCUAUAAGACUGAGAUAACUUCGGGAAACCGGAGCUAAUACCGGAUGAUAUUUUGAACCGCAUGGUUCAAAAGUGAAAGACGGUCUUGCUGUCACUUAUAGAUGGAUCCGCGCUGCAUUAGCUAGUUGGUAAGGUAACGGCUUACCAAGGCAACGAUGCAUAGCCGACCUGAGAGGGUGAUCGGCCACACUGGAACUGAGACACGGUCCAGACUCCUACGGGAGGCAGCAGUAGGGAAUCUUCCGCAAUGGGCGAAAGCCUGACGGAGCAACGCCGCGUGAGUGAUGAAGGUCUUCGGAUCGUAAAACUCUGUUAUUAGGGAAGAACAGAUGUGUAAGUAACUGUGCACAUCUUGACGGUACCUAAUCAGAAAGCCACGGCUAACUACGUG